AGAGCGAACGCUGGCGGCAUGCUUAACACAUGCAAGUCGCACGGGCAGGGGAAACCCUGUCAGUGGCGGACGGGUGAGUAACGCGUAGGUAUCUAUCCUUGGGUGGGGGACAACCGUGGGAAACUACGGCUAAUACCGCAUGAUGACUGAGGUCCAAAGCUUGUGAGAGCGCCUGGGGCGGAGCCUGCGUACGAUUAGCUAGUUGGUGGGGUAAAGGCCUACCAAGGCUGCGAUCGUUAGCUGGUCUGAGAGGAUGAUCAGCCACAUUGGGACUGAGACACGGCCCAAACUCCUACGGGAGGCAGCAGUGGGGAAUAUUGGACAAUGGGCGCAAGCCUGAUCCAGCAAUGCCGCGUGUGUGAAGAAGGUCUUCGGAUUGUAAAGCACUUUCGACGGGGACGAUGAUGACGGUACCCGUAGAAGAAGCCCGGCUAACUUCGUGCCAGCAGCCGC
This 453-nucleotide ribosomal RNA is filed under the name uncultured bacterium. Its description in RNAcentral is "SSU rRNA". It matches the Rfam family "Bacterial small subunit ribosomal RNA", at positions 26 to 518 of the family's 1533-position model. The record is from RNAcentral.